GAUUCUCUUCUUGCCGAAUCUCCUGAAAAACAAUGGUCCAGUUGUCCAAGAAAUCCCCGGUUGGUCUUUUGGGGGUGCACUUCUGGACCAAGAGAUUAUUAUCCUCAUAGACAAUCUGGGCUAUCGCUCUUGUGAGCCUUCCACUUUUCAGAGAGGUUAGAGCUGCUCCAGUUGGGCUGUGUAGGCUCAUUUUCCACGUGAAGAAAGAAAUUGCCCGGUCUUAGCGGGAGAUAUCUCUCAAAAUUCUAUAGUGUUUUGUCAGGAUUUCAGUUUCUAACCUCUACGACAAAAGCACAACAGAGAUAACUCCUUGUCCUUCUCUAAGUCCUGGAUGACCAACUCAAUGUUCAGUGGAAUGAUAUUUUUCUCUGACUCAACUGAUAUAAAACAACUCAAAGAUUUAUGCAGCACAUCACACCAGCAUUUUAAAAGUCCAUAAUAUAGAUAAAUAAAAUUAAAAUAAAUAUAAAACACAACUCCAGACAGCACAAUAAAAUACAAUAAACUAGUUUAAAAUAAAAGCUAAUACUAAAAUCACUAACAUAUAAAAUAAAUUGACAUAUAAAUCUAUACCACACUCAUUCCAUUGAACGUAGACGUCUGGGAUAUUUUAGGAUUAAAAACAAAAAAAAUACCAUGCAUUCUAAGACCAAUAACGGCGAGGUUUAUCUCUCUGCCUUUUCUAACAUGAUUAGAUGAAUGGCUUUAUGAACGCAAACUGACUAAAGCACUAUAGACCCACCUAAAAACAUCUGGGGAAAAUUCUGCCCAACUUCAAAGCAAUUUCGCUUCCUGUGCUUUGUUUAAGAAUGUCUGACCCGCUGAGUAUUUGUCCUCAAGGUUUUGAAUCGGUACAGAUUUCGGAGGCUGCUACUCUGGACUGGAACUUUCCUGGAUGAGCAAGGAGAGAAUCGGCAUUCCUAAAUCCAGGAAAGAAAUGAGGUGAAUGGACAGCGGACCAAGAAGAAGAAUUCACAGCAUCGUGCCUGCCGUCAAAGCACCCCAACAUUCCAGGACCCAAGGCCUCCAGCCAAGCCAGCUCUAACUUCUUCCUGGACUCUCAACACCCCCAGGGAUAACAUCCUGAAGUUCUCCUGCCUCCACCCGAAGGACCCCAGCCCUCCAACCAAGCCAGCUGCAACUUCUUCCUGGACUCUCACCACUGCAAGGGAAACCAUCCUGAAGCACUCCUGA
This 1194-nucleotide long non-coding RNA is filed under the name Ornithorhynchus anatinus (platypus). Its description in RNAcentral is "lncRNA (ENSOANG00000049410.1)". The record is from RNAcentral. Lineage: Eukaryota; Metazoa; Chordata; Mammalia; Monotremata; Ornithorhynchidae.